Molecule: ribosomal RNA, 667 nt
Filed under: uncultured bacterium
Lineage: Bacteria
Description: bacterial SSU rRNA
Rfam family: Bacterial small subunit ribosomal RNA
Source: RNAcentral
GGCUGUUUUAUGCAGCCGUGGCGGACGGGUGAGUAACAUGUAGGUGACCUACCCUAAAGUCUGGGACAACUAGGAGAAAUCUUAGCUAAUCCUGGAUGUGGACAUCUACUUUGGUGGAUGUUUAAAGCUUCGGCGCUUUGGGAUGGGCCUGCGGCGCAUCNNNUAGUUGGUGGGGUAAUGGCCUACCAAGCCUNNNACGCGUAGCUGGUCUGAGAGGACGAUCAGCCACAGGGGUACUGAGACACGGACCCCACUCCUACGGGAGGCAGCAGUUAGGAAUCUUCCGCAAUGGGCGAAAGCCUGACGGAGCGAUACCGCUUGGAGGACGAAGCCCUUCGGGGUGUAAACUUCUGAACUCGGGACGAUAAUGACGGUACCGAGGUAAUAGCACCGGCUAACUCCGUGCCAGCAGCCGCGGUAAUACGGACGGUGCGAGCGUUACCCGGAUUUACUGGGUGUAAAGGGCGUGUAGGCGGUCUCUCAAGUCCGAUGCUAAAGACCGAAGCUCGACUUCGGGGGUGCGUUGGAUACUGUGAGGCUAGACGGUCGGAGAGGGUAGCGGAAUUUCCGGAGUAGCGGUGAAAUGCGCAGAUACCGAAAGGAACGCCGAUAGCGAAAGCAGCUACCUGGACGAUUUGUGACGCUGNNNCGCGAAAGCGUGGGGAGC